Molecule: ribosomal RNA, 74 nt
Filed under: uncultured bacterium
Lineage: Bacteria
Description: partial 16S ribosomal RNA
Source: RNAcentral
UUACACCCUUAAGGCCUUCAUCCUGCACGCGGCAUUGCUGGAUCAGGCUUUCGCCCAUUGUCCAAAAUUCCCCA